GUGGACAGUAAAUGUUUUUAUUAUUGAUAAAUAAGUUUGUUAUAAAUUAUACUCCAUUGGUCAUUUUUGUUUUAUACCAACUUUUACUUCUGUGACAGUGAGAUAGUGUGAUGUCUUUACUGGGCUAGUGUAGCUCAUUCCUUACGUAACCAUUUCAGAUCAGGAAGACUUGGUUCCCGAGCCCGUCUCGCAGGAAGACGGCGAGUAUCUGUCUAAA
RNAcentral lists this long non-coding RNA (217 nucleotides) under Carica papaya (papaya). RNAcentral's name for it is "long non-coding RNA (CPAP_LNC007849)". Lineage: Eukaryota; Viridiplantae; Streptophyta; Magnoliopsida; Brassicales; Caricaceae. The record is from RNAcentral.